GGGCUAGUGGCGGAAUGGUAUACGCACGACACUUAAAAUGUCGCGGUCGAAAGGCCAUGUGGGUUCGACUCCCGCCUAGCCCACAA
Molecule: transfer RNA, 86 nt
Filed under: Candidatus Magasanikbacteria bacterium CG_4_10_14_0_8_um_filter_42_12
Lineage: Bacteria; Candidatus Magasanikiibacteriota
Also listed under: 2 other names
Description: tRNA-Leu
Rfam family: tRNA
About the family: Transfer RNA (tRNA) molecules are approximately 80 nucleotides in length. Their secondary structure includes four short double-helical elements and three loops (D, anti-codon, and T loops).
Source: RNAcentral